Molecule: ribosomal RNA, 255 nt
Filed under: uncultured bacterium
Lineage: Bacteria
Description: partial 16S ribosomal RNA
Rfam family: Bacterial small subunit ribosomal RNA
Source: RNAcentral
UACGAAGGGGGGCUAGCGUUGUUCGGAAUUACUGGGCGUAAAGCGCGCGCAGGCGGCUAUCCAAGUCAGUGGUGAAAGCCCGGAGCUCAACUCCGGAACUGCCAUUGAAACUGUUUAGCUUGAGGACGAGAGAGGUGAGUGGAAUCCCCAGUGUAGAGGUGAAAUUCGUAGAUAUUGGGAAGAACACCAGUGGCGAAGGCGGCUCACUGGCUCGUAUCUGACGCUCAGGCGCGAUAGCGUGGGGGAUCAAACAGG